CCUUUGCCAAUCAGUGACCUUGAUUCUUGGUUGAAGACACCCUCCAUAUAUGUUUUUGAUUGCUCUGCGACUAGGGGAAUAUUGUGAAUGCUUUUAUUGAGCUUCAUGAUUGGGUUGCUUCUAGCUCCUCUGGAUCCACAAGGGAUUGCAUUCUACUUGGAGCUUGUGAAGCACAUGAGACUCUUCCACAAAGUGUUGAAUUUCCUGCAGAUGUGUUUACGUCUUGUCUCACAACACCUAUUAAGAUGGCUUUGAGAUGGUGAGCUUCUUUUCUUGUUCGUCUGUUAGGAUCGCCUAUCAUGUUUAUGCAUCUUUAUUUGAGAUCAUGCAGUUUUCUGGUUUUGCCUUGUGGUGUUUAUUCCAUAUUGGCUGCUUCCUAGUUAUUUUUAGUUUUCUGGUUUUGCCUUGUGGUGUUUAUUCCAUAUGGCUUGUGACGUCAUUGGUUUGAAUAGAUGCUUUGAAAUAUACACAAGUUAGCUAAUCUCUGCCUCUAUUUUGGGCAGUGAAUGAUUUUUCUUAUGAGACUAAAUUUUUUUUGUUGUAUUUUAAGUUGUGGAUAACAAUUGGUUUUUAUUUUUUAAGAUAAUAAUUGGUUUUUGUGUUGUGGAUCAUUAGAUCUGUUUUAUUAACAUAAAGACGUAAUAUUUGCUUCUACAUUUACUAUCAUUCUAGUCAUAGAAAUUUAGUAUAGUUUAGUUACUAGUAAUUUAGUUGCUGCUGUUGACAAUUUGCGGUAUCUAAAAGAUGGAAUACAUACUGUAGUCUUGAAAAAACUUUCAAAAAAUGGAUCUUGCAGGCAAAGGACACCAAGUGAAUUAGAUAGAGAGGUUAAAAACUCGAGGGUGGCAUUGACUGACCUGUUUUUGAAGCAUAACACUUUCAAAGAAACUGCAAAGCCAUCGAGAUAUUGAUGCAAAGAAUGGAAGAAUGUAUUUCACUAAUUUUUGUAUACAUUUCUUGUUUUGUAUUUAGUGAUAAAAGAAUCUGAAUUGGGCAUAAAUUAUGUUGUAAUAUGAUUUCUUAAGUCUAGACUAGUAGACUAAAUAUUGUAAUUACAUUUGAGUAAUUAAUAAAAAUCUAUUUAU
This is a long non-coding RNA of Humulus lupulus (European hop), 1085 nucleotides long. RefSeq lists it as uncharacterized. The transcript is spliced from 3 exons. NCBI's taxonomy places the organism in Eukaryota, Viridiplantae, Streptophyta, Magnoliopsida, Rosales, Cannabaceae. The record is from RefSeq and is a predicted model, not a curated record.